UUCCUGAUCCUAGUGCCACUGUUCCCAUGUAAAUAGCUGGUGUUUCCAAGCCUGCUGCAUUCCCCUGCCCUUCUCUGUUUGUCUCUGUAAAUAGCAAUGCCAGAGCAUGUCCAGGGCACAAAGAGUGGCUUGAGCAAGAGUUCCCAGCAACAACGGAUCACACUGGGAGCUCUGAGCGUGUUUGGAAGCAGCAUUUUUGAAAGUUUCCUGGGAUCUUAUUGUCCUCAUCUGCCCUUCUUUUUUAAGAAUGGGACCCUAGUGUGAAGAUCCAGACACUUGGAGCUCACAGCACCAACCUCACAAACAAGGAGGCGUCUUGCUUCCUUGGCUGCGUUUGGGCAGAGAACCAGCUUUCAGAUCACACUGGAGUAUCAGCAAGCAAAGGCACAAGAGGAUGAGUACACCCCAACCCUGAAGGUGUGUGACAAGUCUCCUCCCGUUCAUUCACUUGACAUUGCAUUAAGUAUCGACAAGGGGAUUCUUACGCCAUUUGCAGAACUGUGGCAGUAGAGAUUAGAAGGUAGGUGUGGCAGGAAACAUUUUCAGAGCAGGAGGUGCACAGCACAGUACUCUGACAACAGAGUAGGGCACAAUGAAACUAGUUCUCAUCAGUGUGACAAAAGGCAACACUUCCUACAGCACAGAACCUAUAAAACAACGAUGAGGCCCCUGGAAUGGCUCCAGAAAACCAAGGAAUGGAUUUCCAACACACCACCCCCUUUAGCAAAAUGCAACCUAUCUGCUCUGUGCAAGGUAAAAAGCUUAUGUUAGUCCAAGCUUGGUAGCUGCAGCAGGUGCAGACUUUUGGCUGGCUUCCUUGGAGUGCAGCAUUCACAGUGGGAAACAGGGUUUUCAAAAGGCUGGGAUCUCACUCGGGCAACAAAUCCAGUUUCCAGGUUUUAAAAACAGAGCUUAUCAUGCUGAGAGUGAGCAUGUUUGAAAAACAGGACCUGUAAGGACAGACACUAGAAGUCGUCCAAAGCCACUGGACAUACUAAACCUGUGGUGGCAGCAUCUUGUACAGAACAUUCCUGUGCCAGUGCCUCAAAAAAUGAUGCUUCAAAAUUCCUCUCACUCUCUCUUAGAAUCAUAGAAUCAUAGAAUUACUCAGGAGGGAAAAGACCUUCAAGAUCAUCAAGUCCAACCGCAACUCUUGGCAAGACUCCCAGGCAGACUCCCAGCCAUCUAGGCAGCCGACUUCAUAAUUUAAGCCCCAUAGUAUGCAGCUAUUUCUACAUUUUUAUGUUAAAAAAAAAAAACACUC
Molecule: long non-coding RNA, 1264 nt
Filed under: Numida meleagris (helmeted guineafowl)
Lineage: Eukaryota; Metazoa; Chordata; Aves; Galliformes; Numididae
Description: lncRNA (ENSNMEG00000017045.1)
Source: RNAcentral